UCAAGGAAAGAGGAAAUAAUCCAGAAAAGGAAAACAAAUCAAGAUGUGUAGAUCUGUGGCCGUCAGGUUGUGGUUUUUGACAGAUCGUUGCAUGAGGGAAGACUAUCCCCAAAAAGAGAUCUUACAAGCUUUGAAGGCCAAAUGUUGUGAGGAGGAGCUGGACUUCAGGGCGGUAGUGAUGGAUGAGGUGGUAUUGACAAUUGAGCAAGGAAACCUGGGUCUACAGAUCAAUAGAGAACUAAUCUCUGCUUACCCCCAGGUGGUGGUAGUGAGAGUUCCAACCCCUUGGGUGCAAAGAGAUAGUGACAGCACUGUUUUGCACCAUGUAGAGAAGAUGGAAUGCAGAUUGAUGAACCCACCUCAAGCCAUCCUGAACUGUGUUAAUAAAUUCUGGACAUUUCAAGAGUUAGCUGGCCAUGGAGUUCCUCUACCAGAUACUUUCUCUUAUGGUGGCUAUGAUAAUUUUGCUAAAAUGAUUGAUGAAGCAGAAGUACUGGAGUUCCCAAUGGUAGUGAAGAAUACAAGGGGUCAUAGAGGCAAAGCUGUCUUUUUGGCAUGGGAUAAGCACCAUUUGGCUGAUCUAAGCCAUCUUAUUCGUCAUGAAGCUCCAUACCUGUUCCAGAAGUAUGUUAACGAGUCUCAUGGGCAGGACAUGCAUGUCAUUGUUGUGGGAGGCCAUGUGGUUGGAACCAUGUUACGUUGCUCAACAGACGGGAGGAUGCAAAGCAACUGCUCAUUAGGUGGUGUGGAGAUGCUGUGCUCAUUGAGUGAACAAGGGAAGCAGCUAGCCAUCCAGGUGUCUAAUAUUCUGGGCAUGGAUGUGUGUGGCAUUGACCUGUUGAUGAAAGAUGACGGCUCCUUCUGUGUCUGCGAGGCCAAUGCAAAUGUAGGUUUCAUCACCUUUGAUAAGGCUUGUAAUCUAGAUGUAGCUGGUAUCAUAGCGGACUAUGCCGCCUCCCUUCUGCCCUCUGGCCAGCUCACCCGGCAUAUGUCCCUGCUCUCCAUGGUGUCCACGGCCAGUGAAACUAGUGAGCCAGAGCUGGGUACCCCAGCCAACACUGCUGUUGACAACAUGAGUGCACGUUCCAGCUCUGUCAACAGUGACACUGAAAGCAUGGAGAGAGAGCUGUUCACCAAGCUCCCAGGAGGCCUGUUCAACAUGAACCAGAUGCUAGCCAAUGAAAUCAAACUCCUGGUGGAGUGA
Molecule: non-coding RNA, 1204 nt
Organism: Castor canadensis (American beaver)
Lineage: Eukaryota; Metazoa; Chordata; Mammalia; Rodentia; Castoridae
Source: RefSeq, a predicted model, not a curated record